This 253-nucleotide ribosomal RNA is filed under the name uncultured bacterium. RNAcentral describes it as "partial 16S ribosomal RNA". It matches the Rfam family "Bacterial small subunit ribosomal RNA", at positions 524 to 776 of the family's 1533-position model. The record is from RNAcentral.
UACGGAGGGGACUAGCGUUGUUCGGAAUUACUGGGCGUAAAGCGCACGUAGGCGGAUUUGUAAGUCAGGGGUGAAAUCCCGGGGCUCAACCUCGGAACUGCCUUUGAUACUGCAAAUCUCGAGUCCGGAAGAGGUGAGUGGAAUUCCUAGUGUAGAGGUGAAAUUCGUAGAUAUUAGGAAGAACACCAGUGGCGAAGGCGGCUCACUGGUCCGGUACUGACACUCAAGUGCGAAAGCGUGGGGAGCAAACAGG